Molecule: small nuclear RNA, 114 nt
Organism: Fukomys damarensis (Damara mole-rat)
Lineage: Eukaryota; Metazoa; Chordata; Mammalia; Rodentia; Bathyergidae
Gene: U5
Rfam family: U5 spliceosomal RNA
About the family: U5 RNA is a component of both types of known spliceosome. The precise function of this molecule is unknown, though it is known that the 5' loop is required for splice site selection and p220 binding, and that both the 3' stem-loop and the Sm site are important for Sm protein binding and cap methylation.
Source: Ensembl
AUACUCUGGUAUCUCUUCAGAACUUAUAAAUCUUUUGCCUUUUACUAAAGAUUUCUGUGGAGAGGAACAAUUCUGAGUCUUAAUCCAAUUUUUUGAGUCUUGCUCUAGCAGGGC